CAAUCAGUCUGAGACUGCAGAUGCUGAAACCUCUCUGCAUCUCUAACUGCUUCCCUCUGCAUAAAAUUCAACAAAGGGUCUCUCCUUCGUCUCUUUGGUGUGGGUGUUCUGGGGCUGUUAUCAGAGGAAGCAGAUGGAGAGGCUGGGGAGAGAGCAGUAGCUGUCACUGGCUGGUUGACAAAAGCUGAUCUUGAUGGCUGUGAGUGUAUUGGGGAUUAGAUUGGAUCUUGUAUGUAAGAGGAUGUGUAACCCAGACAUAAAUUCAUUUGCAGUCCAAGGAAAAAAAUCAUUGUACUAUAUUUACCUAUGUAGUGAAUAUAAAGAAAGGCAGAGAAAAAAUUUAAUUGAAACAAAAUAUUAUUCUUUAAAUUACUACAGUAAAAUUCAUCCAAUUUAAGUUGGAAUUUGCACUGCAGGUGUAAAUUGUCCAAUUGAGUGCGUUCAGCUGUGAUGCUGACUCCGCCCACUGGAGGCGCAGACGAGAUUGAUAGAGAAUUGAUCAAGCUUGAGAAUUUUAACUGAAAAAUCAAGUUAUUUUAGAUAAAAUGACUAGAGAGUUUUUGCACUAGGAGUAAAUAAAGUAGAUGAGUUAUUUAGAGCUAAAAUAUUGAUCAAUUGUGGAGUUUGUGAAGAAGCUUACCUGUUUAUGGCCUUGUUCAUCUGGAGCAUCGUGCUGAAGUUAAGGAAGUCAUCAAUGCAGUUCAUGGUGUAAAAGAUUUUAAAAACACUUUUAAUUCAGAGGAAUCGGCCAGUUUUGUUGUAUGCAUUGAGAUUUGGAUUUUCUGCUGAGUUGUGUGCCUGGUGUAGAUCAAUCAUCAAGCCACGUUGAGGGAAAAGAAAAAUGGCGAGCCACCCAUAGACUGAGUCUGAACCUUCAACUUUUCCUCUUCUCAUCAAUUUGUCUUUUCUGCUGACAGAUUCUUUUCCUUUUAAACUCUGAGGGACAGAGGUAUUUUUUCCCCUGAACUCAAAUUGAUUCUUUGAAUGGACUUAGGUAAUUUUCUGAACUCAAUUUGAUUCUUUGAAUCGGGUAAUUAACAUUUAUUGUAGUGUUGUCAAACGAUCAAUCACGAUUAAUCGCAUUCAAAAUAAAAGUUUUUGUUUAUAUAUUAUAUGUGUGUGUACUGUGUAUAUUUAUGCAUAUAUAAAUACACAAACACACAUGUAUAUAUUUUACAAAUAUUUACAUAUGUGUG
This is a long non-coding RNA of Cyprinus carpio carpio, 1196 nucleotides long. The record is from Ensembl. NCBI's taxonomy places the organism in Eukaryota, Metazoa, Chordata, Actinopteri, Cypriniformes, Cyprinidae.